CUCUUCCUAAAGGGUCUCUCACAGUGAGCAUUGAAGGAUUGGUAUACUCAGGGGCUAAUACAUUUAGGAGGUGAGCAUAAGCUUCUCCAUCCUACAUAAGCAAUUUGAUAACUUAAGAAUUAUCAUUAUAUCUCUAAAAUGGCAAACCAUAUAACAUAAGAGAUGAAACUGAGAGCUCUUUUCCGUUAUUACUGAGCAAAAGGAAUGCAUGCUCCAGAACCAAUUUUGCUCUUCCUAAAGGGUCUAUCACAGUGAGCGUUGAAGGAUUGGUAUACUCAGGGGCUAGUACAUUUAGGAGGUGAGCAUAAGCUUCUCCAUCCUACAUAAGCAAUUUGAUAACUUACGAAUUAGCAUUAUACCUCUAAAAUGGCAAACCACAUACAAGAGAAGAAACUGAGAGCUCUUUUCUGUUAUUAAUGAGUAAAAGGAAAAGAA
RNAcentral lists this long non-coding RNA (435 nucleotides) under Nicotiana benthamiana. RNAcentral describes it as "long non-coding RNA (NBEN_LNC011197)". Lineage: Eukaryota; Viridiplantae; Streptophyta; Magnoliopsida; Solanales; Solanaceae. The record is from RNAcentral.